UCCAUCGGAUAACCCGUCGAGAGGCGGCCUAACACGAUAUGCAGUUCUCAGCAGGCAUCUAACGAGAACGAAAUGUGAAGGAGAAGGAUGGGGAUGCGUCUGAUUAGCUUGUUGGCGGGGUAACGGCCCACCAAGGCGACGAUCAGUAGGGGUUCUGAGAGGAAGGUCCCCCACAUUGGAACUGAGACACGGUCCAAACUCCUACGGGAGGCAGCAGUGAGGAAUAUUGGUCAAUGGGCGAGAGCCUGAACCAGCCAAGUAGCGUGCAGGAUGACGGCCCUAUGGGUUGUAAACUGCUUUUAUGCGGGGAUAAAGUGAGCCACGUGUGGCUUAUUGCAGGUACCGCAUGAAUAAGGACCGGCUAAUUCCGUGCCAGCAGCCGCGGUAAUACGGAAGGUCCGGGCGUUAUCCGGAUUUAUUGGGUUUAAAGGGAGCGUAGGCCGUCUGAUAAGCGUGUUGUGAAAUGUCGGGGCUCAACCUGGGCAUUGCAGCGCGAACUGUCAGACUUGAGUGCGCGGGAAGUAGGCGGAAUUCGUCGUGUAGCGGUGAAAUGCUUAGAUAUGACGAAGAACUCCGAUUGCGAAGGCAGCCUGCUGUAGCGCAACUGACGCUGAAGCUCGAAAGCGUGGGUAUCGAACAGGAUUAGAUACCCUGGUAGUCCACGCGGUAAACGAUGGAUGCUCGCUGUUUGCGUCUGACGUAAGCGGC
RNAcentral lists this ribosomal RNA (708 nucleotides) under uncultured bacterium. RNAcentral describes it as "bacterial SSU rRNA". It matches the Rfam family "Bacterial small subunit ribosomal RNA", at positions 135 to 847 of the family's 1533-position model. The record is from RNAcentral. RNAcentral also lists the same sequence under 1 other name.